UUACACUCGCUGGCAGGCUGGGUGCCGGAUCCCUCGCCCGCCCAGGAAAGUGGGUUACGGAGGGAAGAGGCUCAGCUCAGAUGCUGGCAAAGGAGCAUCCAGCCACAGAGACCAGAGAACACCUUCCUUUUUGCUGCCUCGUCUCCAUCCUUUCUAGAGGGUUUUAUAUUUGCACUCUCUCUUUUAAAAUUUUGUUUCUUUGACUUUUCCCCACCUCUGCUCUGGUUUUAUGAGGGCUUUGUUAAGUCUUAGACGGGAAAGAGACUGAGUGAGGGAAAGAAAGAGGCAAAGUGGAAAGGACCACAAAUUGGCAAAGCCUGUUCUGCUUUUGCUGUGGAUGAAAGUCCUCUGUUUGUAAAGCCCUCUCGGCGUGAGCAGCACGCGCACCCUCCAGAGUAGCCGGACCCUGCACCGCACCUCGGCGUGGCCACCAUGGUCGCCAGAGUUCAGCCUGAUCGGAAACAGUUGCCGCUAGUCCUACUGAGAUUGCUCUGCCUUCUUCCCACAGGACUGCCUGUUCGCAGCGUGGAUUUUAACCGAGGCACCGACAACAUCACCGUGAGGCAGGGGGACACGGCCAUCCUCAGUUACAGGUCACUAAAACUGUAAGUAAAAAUGCCUCACUCAUUUUCAAGUGCUGGGACAGAACACAUGGACACUCACCAGGGAGGAUCUCUGCAUGGUUUGGAGAGCAAAUAGUCAGGUAGGUUGAGUCCCGGAAAAAUAGAGGCAUGUGCGUCUGGAAAAGCAGUGAAGGCUAGUCCAGGAUGGAUCUUGAGAAGAUGAGCUGAGAAAUAUGCUAGAGCUUGGUGUAGAGAGUGCUGGAGUAGGUAAGACAUAUAGAAUAACCAAAAUAUGAAUUCUUUGGACCCUUGUCCUCUCCAGCUUUAUGGCCCCAGCCUCAGCACAAUUUCUAACACACAGGAGUGCUCCUUUAGUGCUUGUUGAAUCAUUUAUUUCAAUAAUGUUGACUGAAGGCAAAUGGCUGAGAACUACUAUGGUUUUUACAGAAUAAAGUAAAAUUAUAAUCUGUGGAAAUAAAGCCCAUGUGAACUAUAACUCUGCUUCUUCGAAUUUAUGUAUGAUUUCUGUGCUUAAAAUUGUAAGAAUAUACAGUGAAGCCUUUGUGAAUGUCAUUGCUUUAAGGAAAGUGUUUGAAUUGGAAUCAACAGUUUAUUUUAAAAUCUACAAAAUAUACAGAAUACAUUUGCCCCAGCCCGGUUCUUUUCACCCCCAUCCCCCACUAGGCCACCUGUCUUCCUUCUCUGGCUGCUUCUCACCCCAUCCUCUGCCCAAAGCCUUGCUGACAUAUUUCAGAGUCUUUCAUUUGCAUUCUCUUCAAGGGCCUAUAUUAAUUUGACAUCAGCGGCAUUACAAUGCAGCAUGGAGAGUAAAGCACUGUUAAUAUUUAUUAUGAUGCUUUGAGUUUACAUUUACCUGAGGGAAGUUUCAAAUGCCUGCCUCAUGCCCGUCUGCAGUAAUCAUCUAUACCGAGGGCACGUCAGCUCUCUCUCCAACAUAGAGGAGGAGACCAAGACAAUCUGGGUAGCUCUUCCCACCACAGUUCCAAAGACAACAAUCUCCUAACCGGAUCAUUUUGUUAAUGCAUGUUAAAAAGCACCAAGGGGAGUUCCUGUUGAGGCUCAAUGGUUAACGAACCUGACUAGCAUCCACGAGGGUGCGUGUUCGAUCCCUGGCCUUGCUCAGUGGGUUGGGGAUCUGGCGUUGCCAUGAGCUGUGGUAUAGGUUGCAAACUCGGCUUGGAUUCAUUGUUGCUAUGGCUGUGACAUAGGCCAGCAGCUACAGCUCUGAAUGGACCGCUAGCCUGGGAACCUCCAUGUGCCAUGCAUGUGGCCCUGAAAAGACCAAAAAAGAAAAAAAAAAAAAAAA
Molecule: long non-coding RNA, 1890 nt
Filed under: Sus scrofa (pig)
Lineage: Eukaryota; Metazoa; Chordata; Mammalia; Artiodactyla; Suidae
Description: lncRNA (ENSSSCG00055017212.1)
Source: RNAcentral